Haliotis rubra (blacklip abalone) is the source of this 1362-nucleotide long non-coding RNA. RefSeq lists it as uncharacterized. Lineage: Eukaryota; Metazoa; Mollusca; Gastropoda; Lepetellida; Haliotidae. The record is from RefSeq and is a predicted model, not a curated record. The transcript has 3 exons.
AUGAUAUUUAUUGCAUAAUAUAUGUCUAUAUACAAACUGAUGACUCACCCCCAUCCCCCUCUUAACAUCAUCAGCAAUCACAAUAUUCCUCCAGUGUUGAAUCCCAGUGUUUUGUUUGUUUGAUGUUGGUAAACGCUGCAUGCCAUUAAUAUUCAUCUGGUAUUGAAUACCAGUGUUUUGUUUUUGGUUGGUUGGUUAACGCCGCAUGCCAGCAAUAUUCCUCCGGUAUUGAUCCCAGUGUUUUGUUUGCUUGAUGGUUGGUUAACACUGUAUGCUGCAAUAUUCCUCCGGUAUUGGAUACCAAUGUUUGUUAGUUUGAUGGUUGGUUAACAUCGCAUGUCGCACUAUAUUCCUGUGGUAUUGAUCCCAGUGUUGUGUUUGUUUAAUGGUUGGUUAACGCUGCAUGUCGCAAUAUUCCUCUCGGUAUUGGAUCCCAGUGUUUUGUUUGUUUGAUGGUUGGUUAACACUGCAUGCUGCAAUAUUCCUCCGGUAUUGAUACCAAUGUUUGUUAGUUUGAUGGUUGGUUAACGCCGCAUGUCGCAAUAUUCCUCUGGUAUUGGAUACCAGUGUUUUGUUUGUUUGAUGGUUGGUUAACGCCGCAUGUCGCAAUAUUCCUCCGGUAUUGGAUACCAGUGUUUGUUAGUUUGAUGGUUGGUUAACGCCGCAUGUCGCACUAUUCCUCUGGUAUUGGAUACCAGUGUUUGUUAGUUUGAUGGUUGGUUAACCCUGCAUGCCAUUAAUAUUCAUCUGGUAUUGAAUACCAGUGUUUUGUUUGUUUGAUGGUUGGUUAACGCCGCAUGUCGCCAUAUUCCUCUGGUAUUGGAUCCCAGUGUUUUGUUAGUUUGAUGGUUGGGUUAACGCUGCAUGCUGCAAUAUUCCUCCGGUAUUGGAUACCAGUGUUUUGUUUGUUUGAUGGUUGGUUAAAGCCGCAUGUCGCAAUAUUCCUCUGGUAUUGGAUACCUGUUUUCUUUGAUGGUUGGUUAACGCUGCAUGCCACAAUAUUCCUCCAGUGUAUGUAUGAGUGUGUUUAUACAUAGAGGAUAUUAUAGGUCAUAUGUGACCAUGUCAGACUAUUUACGACACGAGUGCCUAAAUGGUUUUUCCUGAGCGCGAGCGACUGUAAGAAAAAUAUGAACCCCGCUAUUUUCGCCCUUGUAGGUAAUAAAUAUGAGUAUGUGUGUAGGGUGGGUGGGCGGGGUGGGGGUGUAAUGGGUAUGACGUGUGUGUGUAUGGGUGUGACGUGUGUGUGUGAAUAUAGUGUGGAUGAUAUUGCCACGAUGAAUAUAAUUAUCCAUGUUUGAUACAUUGUCCACUAUUUUCUCAGUAAUAUAUAUAUCAAAUAUAUUAAAUAGGCCAUACGUC